RNAcentral lists this ribosomal RNA (676 nucleotides) under Docophoroides brevis. Its description in RNAcentral is "12S ribosomal RNA". The record is from RNAcentral. Lineage: Eukaryota; Metazoa; Arthropoda; Insecta; Psocodea; Philopteridae.
UGGUGAUUUAAUUCUAACUACACUUUUAUGUUAUAUAUACUAAGUAGUAAGCAUAAUUAUUAUAUAAAUAAUAAGUUAUAGAUAGUGUAGAUUGUCAGUAAAAUAAUGUGCCAGCAUUCGCGGUCACACAUUAUGACUUGAAUUUGUUGAAUAUUAAUUAAUAUAUAAUACUUUAUUAUAUAAAGAAUUCGGUAAAAUGAUUGCUUUAUAUUAAUUUAACUUAAUUACAAAAUGUUACAUCAAACUAGGAUUAGAUACCCUGCUAUGAACAUAGAAUUGAUUUGAGCGGAGUAAAGAUUAUUGAUCUUGAAAAGGUUAGCUGAGUGACGGUUAAGCUUACAAUUAGGGUUACCUGUGUUAGAAACGAAAUUGCACGAAUAUCUUUCCAAUCUUAGAAAUAAUCUUGCACACCGCCGUCGGAAGAAUUAUUUUAAUGAAUAUAUCUUUACAUUAAACAUUAAGUCAGGUCAAGGUGCAGACAAUAGAGUGGAUAACAUGUGUUAACUUGUUAAUUUUAUUAGUAUAAACUGAAAACUUUAUAUCUAUCAACUUAUAAGUAAAUUAAUUUAAUUAAAAUUAAUUGAAUGGGUUAAUCUUAAUGUACAAAUUGCCCGUCAUUCCAAUAAAGGAUAAGUCGAAACAUAGUUGGUCCACUGGAAAGUGGACCAGGAUUACC